Molecule: ribosomal RNA, 274 nt
Filed under: uncultured bacterium
Lineage: Bacteria
Description: partial 16S ribosomal RNA
Rfam family: Bacterial small subunit ribosomal RNA
Source: RNAcentral
AUACGGAGGGUGCAAGCGUUAUCCGGAAUCAUUGGGUUUAAAGGGUCCGCAGGCGGUCAAUUAAGUUAGAGGUGAAAUCCCGUCGCUCAACGACGGAACUGCCUUUAAUACUGGUUGACUUGAGUUAUACGGAAGUAGAUAGAAUGUGUAGUGUAGCGGUGAAAUGCAUAGAGAUUACACAGAAUACCGAUUGCGAAGGCAGUCUACUACGUAUAUACUGACGCUCAUGGACGAAAGCGUGGGGAGCGAACAGGAUUAGAAACCCCAGUAGUCC